RNAcentral lists this long non-coding RNA (3929 nucleotides) under Malus domestica (apple). RNAcentral describes it as "long non-coding RNA (MDOM_LNC008220)". Lineage: Eukaryota; Viridiplantae; Streptophyta; Magnoliopsida; Rosales; Rosaceae. The record is from RNAcentral.
CCCUUUAUUUUCUGCAUUCUGCAAGUCUACUGCUUUAGUGCACCAGGGCUGUGACGCUUUGUUGGGGGUGACAGGUAGGUGAAGAAAAGACGCAACUUUUGCCUGCUGCUGGUAAGAAGAAAUAAAUUUCUGGGUUUGGUUGGAGGACAUGGGGGAAGAAAAGUAUCCAAGAGAGACAAGGGACUGAGACUUCUCAUCUCUUUCUCUUUUCAUUGACCAGUCUUGACCUGGAGGGCCAAGCCUAAGCUCAAGCUUCUUCUCCUCUGAGGAGGAGCUUCCAUGGCCGCUGCUUCUCUCAAUAUAUCUGCUCACAAGCCAGUCUCUCUCUCUUGGAAUCAAAUCUAGCAGUUGUGGACAUGCCUCCUUCUCCUUCCUUGUACAUCCCUCCAUCUCAGUGGCCAUAUCUAAAGACUCAGUUGUUGGGAUGACCCAAGUGAAAAAAUCAAAUUUUUUUCCUCCCCUUGUACUUUCAGACACCAGAUGUACAGAUUGGAGGAACUGCACUGAGAAAUGGAAGGAACAGAAAAGUUAGAGGAGAUUAACAAGCUUGGCAUAAAAAAGAAGAAAAAGGGACGAAAGGGGAGAAAGGGGUUUACCUUACGAAUUUCUUUAGCCAAAGCUCAUAACUUUGAAGGCCAACAUCCUCAUGUACUCAAAUUGCUCACUUGGUCUCACACACACCUUUGAUAUCAAAAUAUCUUGAAGAAACAAGCACAAAGGAAAAACCAAAACCUCACAAGGGUUAGAAACCCAAAAACACAAAAGGGAUAGGGAAGCUAAAAUAGGGUAGGGAUUGAUGUAUAUGGGUUUUUUUUUUUCCUUUAAAUUUGAUGCAGGCUUUUUAGUGGGUUCUCUCUCUCCUUUUCUUUUUUCCCUCUCCCUCUCUCUACUUUUGGGACUCGUGGGUUUUAUGAGUAAUUGUUGUGAGAAGAUUUUACAAAGUAGUCUCGCUAGCGUUAUCUAUUUACAAAUAAAAAAAUGAAAACCAAAACGAAAAAAAGAUGAAAAAAACUUUCUUUAUUACAGUAACAUAGAUAGUAGAUUAUGUGUUUUUAUAUAAGUGAUGACAAAUUUUACUUUUUAAGUUAUUAACUUUUUUAACGCAUAUAUCUCACUAUUUACAUAAUGACACGUGAUGUAUCAUUCAAUGUUCUGAUCACAUUUAAAAAUCUCUCUAAAAGAUGAGAGAUGGGCAGAGAGAUUCCCUUCACCCCAAAGAACACCAAAACAGGAAACAGAAAUUAGAGCAAAACGCACGCAACCAGAUCCCCUCUCCGUCUCAAAACACAACGUUAAUAAGAGGAGGAGGUUGUUCAACCCAGGAAGCAAAGCGUGCUGUGCUGACCUCUCUCUCUUUCUCACUCUCUCUCUCUCUCUCUAAAAACACUCGAUGGUCUACCACGCAGUCACCAACCCCAAAUGUUGUUCAGCCUCAUUAGCACACAACCCCAAACAUCCCCUCUUUAUUUGAAAAAGAGAGAAUGACAUUCUUUGCUCACAAAGUCACCGCCCUAUUUGCCAAAAGCCUAGUGCUUUACAUUGCAUUGAUGUUAAUAAAAGUUAAUUUAGUACAUACAAACUUCAUUUAACACAAACCCCGAUACGUUUUUACCACUUUUAGCACCGAAGUCACUCGAUGAAGUAUAUGUCAAUCCAUAUUAUAGAUUGAUUAUACAACAUAUUUUUACUUUAUUGUUUUUUAUAGAGACAAUAUUUAGGAUAAGGCCUAAUCGGAUAAAUGGUCCCCGUGGUCAUAAGGUAUUCGGAUGAUAGCCUCUGUGGUAAAAAAAUUCGGAUUUAAACCCCUGUGGUUACAGUCUGUUAGGAUUUAAACCCUUGUGGUCUAAGUCUGUUAGGAUUUACUCCCUUCUGUCAUUCCUCCAUUAGGUUUAGGUUGGCCAAAUCAGAUAAAUGGUCUCCGUGGUCAUAAGGAAUUCGGAAGAUAGCCCAUGUGGUAGAAAAAAUUCAGAUUUAAACCCCUGUGGUCUAAGUCUAUUAGGAUUUAUGCCUAAAAUUAGAGGUACUGUCAUUCCUUCGUUAAGCUUACAGGUGGAGCAGAGUUUUUCUGAGUAUCUAUCAAUAAAAAAUAUCUUACAAUAAAAAGAGGGGGGGAGAGAAGAUUUUUAGUUUAUGGUAAAAAAAUUCAUUCAUCUCAGUUAUUUCACAAGAAGAAAAAAACUAAAACAGAAAAUCUGUUGAAUUUCAAAUAGUUAGUUUCACCAAAUAGGAUACGAAAACUUGCUUCACAUUUACAAUUACACAAAAAAAAAACUAUUUAUCUCAGAGAGGUUUACGUAAAAUUAUGGGAAAACGCCAACAAUUACUGUCUUAUUUGUCAAAGAAAAAUAGAAUAUAUUAUAAAGAAUUAAUUAAUCGGUUGGAUAUUCGGAGUCAAAAACUGGUUAAUUUUUAUAAAGGCAUUUUGAAUUAUUAGAUUUAUUAGAUCUUGAAUUUUAAUGAAUUAUGUGAUUUAUUAGUUCCACCUCGUUCUGUUGCGUCUCCUCAGAGAAACUCUGCUCCACCUAUAAGCUUAGCUAAGAAAUGACAGAACCUCUAGUUUCGGGCAUAAAUCCUAACAAACUUAGACCACAGGGGUUUAAAUCCAAUUUUUUUUUACCACAGGGACUAUCUUCCGAAUACUUUAUGACCACGGGAACCAUUUAUCCGAUUUUGCCAACCUAAACCUAAUGGAGAAAUGACAGAAGGGCAUAAAUCCUAACAGACUGUGACCACAGGGGUUUAAAUCUGAAUUUUUUUACCACAGAAACUAUCAUUCGAAUACCUUAGGAUCACGAUCACCAUUUAUACGAUUAGGUCUUAGGAUAAAUAGCUCAUGUUCACGCUCACAUUCGUCUUUUAUGAUUGUUCAUGAUAGGAAGACUCGACGACACGACAACAUGAGGGCCAAUCCUUGUGCUCCACUUGUUUACAAUGACAUUCUUGCUUCCAAGUCACUAGCUAAUAAGUCUAGUGAUUUUUUCCAAAAAAAAAAAGGCCUAGUGAUUUAUAUUGAAUUGAUGUUAAUAAAAGUUGAUUUAGUACACAACCCUUGUAGAUUUCUUGUUUAGCACAAAACCCAACACUGCCCUUCAUUAGUGGUAAAGUCACUUGAUUAAGUAGGUGUUAAUUUGGGAGGAUAGGAUAAGCAAAGACACGUGUUAUCUUGUCAGGCUUAGCUUUUCAGUUUAAUAAACUAAUGGGGUUACUUUUUAUCAGGCCAAGAAAUUGAUGGAUGGGAUGUUGUCAUUGGUGUAUUGGCCAAUUAAUUUUUUUUUUUUCAUUUAUUUAUUCAUUUUUAAUAUUAUGUGCUCCCAAGAAAAAAAAAAGAGAGAGAAAAAGGAUUUGCAUGAUCCAUUGCCGGGCUUGUGCUAUAAAAACAUGCAGAUCCCAUGAUCUCUCUCUCUCUCCCCCCCUCUCUCUUCGUUGCCAUCCACACAUACAGUGGUGAUCUGGUGUGGGAGAGUCGACCGCAAAACUGUGCAAACCAUACACACCAUAGCCGUUGGAUUCGUGAUUUGUCAUGGCAUUUGAUGUGAUGCAACGCGCAACAGGACACAGAGCUCAAGGGAACUGGUACUGUACUCUGACCAGCAGCAGCUUAAAGGAGAGCUGGUUUUGAUAGAGAUGGGAAGUUUUAUACUCUACGUUAAAGAGUUUGAAUAACUCGGCAAAUAAUCGCCUAUCGGUCAGGUUUGUUUUCUCACCAUAAUUGGUGGUUCACCAACCAGCAAAUACUGCACACUUCAUGACCAAAUGAUGCCCUCUGAUUUAUUUAUUUAUGGAACAUAAAUUAUUUAAAGAGAAAAACCACAAUUACAACUACUUUUAGAACAAUCGAAGAGAAAAGCAUUUUUAGCAGUAGUGGAUAAAAAUUCUAUCCCAAAUAAAAGAUCAUGAAUAGAGUACCCCCAAUGCUAGUAAUGGCAUUG